GCUCGAAAAUCCAAAUUUUCUCAACGAAAUUUUAUGGACAGACGAAGCAACGUUCAAUAGUGACGGAGGAGUUAACAGACAUAAUAUGCACUAUUGGUCUGAAACUAACCCUCGUUGGAUGCGCGAGAUCCAGCAUCAGGGAAGGUGGAGUGUUAAUGUCUGGUGCGGUGUAAUAGGAUCUCAGGUCAUAGGUCCAUUUUUAUUUGAUGAGGGCCUAACUGGAGAACGAUAUCUUGGAUUUUUAAGAAAUGAGCUCCCAGCAUUAUUAGAAGAGGUGCCUCUGGUUAUAAGAGCCAACAUGUUUUUACAAGAUGACGGAUGCCCAGCUCAUUUUGCGGUACAAGUGCGAACGUUCCUUAAUCAGCGGUACCCUGAUCGGUGGAUUGGCAGAGGUAGCUUUUUCCCUUGGCCGGCAAGAUCGCCAGAUUUAACCUGCCUUGACUUUUAUUUAUGGGGUAGAAUAAAAGCCAUUGUAUUUUCUUCGAUUCCUACCAAUAGAGAAAAUAUGAAACAGCGAAUAAGGGGCGCUAUUCGGAGUUUACCAGCCGCAGAAAUAGAGGCAGCCGUGGAAUCAACCCGACGAAGAGUUCAGUUUGGAUCAGCCUUGUAAUUUCCGUCCCAUUUCUAUUUUGUCUACCCUCUCUAAGAUAGUUGAAAAACUUGCAAAAAGCAGAAUUUUGUCCUUUUUACAUCAUAAUGGCAUUUUGUCUGCAAAUCAGUUUGGAUUUCAAGCCGGUAAAGGGACUCAUGAUGCUGUUUUUAGCUUUUUGGAGAGCGUCUAUGUGUCCUUGAAUUCUGGAGAGUCAUCGGCGGCAGUGUUUUGUGAUUUAUCCAAAGCAUUUGACUGUGUGGAUCAUGGAAUACUGUUAUCUAAGCUCGAUAAAUAUGGUUUUAUGGGCGUAGCGUAGUGAGAAACUGGCUGGACAAUAAUUUUACAGGCAGAUGGAUAGGCCGAGGUGGUCCAAUAAACUGGCCUGCACGAUCGCCCGACCCUAAUCCUCUGGAUUAUUAUCUUUGGGGUAAUAUGUGCAAUAUUAUUUAUGCCACCGAAAUUGAUACUCCAGAAGAGCUUCAGAGGCGAAUUCUCGCAGCUGCAGGUCAAAUAAGAGAAAACCGAUUUGAAAUUCUUAGAUCGACCCAAAACAUUCAAAAAAGAUCCAGGUUAUGCAUUCAGGAAAACGGAAACUUGUUUGAACAUUUGCCUCAAAUAAAUUAGUAUUUUUAUCUGUUUGCAAUUUUAUUUGUCAAUUUACUUUUGAAGCGUGCUAUUGAGUUUUAAUAAAAAUUGUUAUUAAUAAUACUA
This is a long non-coding RNA of Anthonomus grandis grandis, 1303 nucleotides long. RefSeq lists it as uncharacterized. The transcript is spliced from 2 exons. NCBI's taxonomy places the organism in Eukaryota, Metazoa, Arthropoda, Insecta, Coleoptera, Curculionidae. The record is from RefSeq and is a predicted model, not a curated record.